RNAcentral lists this long non-coding RNA (219 nucleotides) under Elaeis guineensis (African oil palm). RNAcentral describes it as "long non-coding RNA (EGUI_LNC060037)". The record is from RNAcentral. Lineage: Eukaryota; Viridiplantae; Streptophyta; Magnoliopsida; Arecales; Arecaceae.
UUAGAUUCAAGAAUGCGGGCUAGAAGAUUUGAGGCUGAUAUUGUUUAACUGUGAGAGUAGAGAUUCAAAUUAGACUUUUGUACUUUAAAUUUAUAUUUGCUUUUAGAAAUUUUAAGAUGCAAAUAAUAGCUCCUACUAAUUUUUUGGAUCCCUCUACUCCCUCGAUGAAAAAUAAAAAUCCUAACGCGACAACUAGAUUCUUAGUGGGUGCUAGGUCCC